Molecule: ribosomal RNA, 253 nt
Filed under: uncultured bacterium
Lineage: Bacteria
Description: partial 16S ribosomal RNA
Rfam family: Bacterial small subunit ribosomal RNA
Source: RNAcentral
UACGUAGGGUGCGAGCGUUGUCCGGAGUUACUGGGCGUAAAGCGCACGCAGGCGGUCUUUUAAGUUUGGAGUGACAGUUGGUGGCUUAACUGCCAAAGUGCUUCGAAAACUGAGAGACUUGAGGGCUUCAGAGGGACACGGAAUUCCGGGUGGAGUGGUGAAAUGCGUAGAUAUCCGGAGGAACACCAAUGGCGAAGGCAGUGUCCUGGGAAGUACCUGACGCUCAGGUGCGAAAGCUAGGGGAGCGAACAGG